Molecule: ribosomal RNA, 486 nt
Filed under: uncultured bacterium
Lineage: Bacteria
Description: bacterial SSU rRNA
Rfam family: Bacterial small subunit ribosomal RNA
Source: RNAcentral
CUUACCAUGCAAGUCGGGGGGCAGCAUGGAAGAAGCUUGCUUCUUCUGAUGGCGACCGGCGCACGGGUGCGUAACGCGUAUCAAACCUGCCUCAUACUCGGGGAUAGCCUUGCGAAAGUAAGAUUAAUACCCGAUGUUGUUAUGUUACCGCAUGGUGAUGUAACCAAAGAUUUAUCGGUAUGAGAUGGUGAUGCGUCCGAUUAGGUAGUAGGCGGGGUAACGGCCCACCUAGCCUUCGAUCGGUAGGGGUUCUGAGAGGAAGGUCCCCCACACUGGAACUGAGACACGGUCCAGACUCCUACGGGAGGCAGCAGUGAGGAAUAUUGGUCAAUGGACGGAAGUCUGAACCAGCCAAGUAGCGUGCAGGAUGACGGCCCUCUGGGUUGUAAACUGCUUUUAGUUGGGAAUAAAAAAGAGGACGUGUCCUCUAUUGUAUGUACCUUCAGAAAAAGGACCGGCUAAUUCCGUGCCAGCAGCCGCGGUAAU